CGUCGUCGUCGUCGUCGGAAUACUUUUAGUUUUCGCACUCUAACUUUAGUAAAAGUGAAUAGAAAUCAAUGAAAUUUUAACACAAGAUUUAUGACCACAAAAGGAAGGUUGGGAUUGAUUUUGGGAGUUUUUGUCUCAAUAUUUUAGGAAUUAGGGGCCAAAAAGGGCCCAAAUAAGCAUUUUCUUGGUUGUCGCACUAUAACUUUAGUUUAAGUGAAUAGAAAUCUAUGAAAUUUUGACACAAGGUUUAUGACCACAAAAGACGGUUGGGAUUGAUUUUGGGAGUUUUGGUUCCAACAGUUUAGGAAUUAAGGGCCAAAAAAGGGCCCAAAUAAGCAUUAUUCUUGGUUUUCGCACAAUAACUUUAGUAUAAGUAAAUAGAAAUCAAUGAAAUUUAAACACAAGGUUUAUGACCAUAA
Molecule: long non-coding RNA, 419 nt
Filed under: Mytilus galloprovincialis (Mediterranean mussel)
Lineage: Eukaryota; Metazoa; Mollusca; Bivalvia; Mytilida; Mytilidae
Source: RNAcentral